RNAcentral lists this signal recognition particle RNA (312 nucleotides) under Methanoculleus sp. RNAcentral describes it as "signal recognition particle sRNA". It matches the Rfam family "Archaeal signal recognition particle RNA". Lineage: Archaea; Methanobacteriati; Methanobacteriota; Methanomicrobia; Methanomicrobiales; Methanomicrobiaceae. The record is from RNAcentral.
CCGGGGACUAGCCCGGGUGGUUCGACGUCACCUGUCACCUGAAACCGCCGGUACGCAGGGGGCGAAAUCCGAGGACGGCUCUGGCGACCUGCCGGAGACCGGUAUAUCCCGCCGAAGAAGCCUCGUCCCAUGAGGUCGACGGACAGGGAUCAAUGCUCCGGAGGGAGCUGCGACCUGUUGCCGCGGGGACCGGUUCAGGCCCGGAAGGGAGCAGACUUACCGUGGACGUUCGGCGCCCAUGGGGGCGCGGGGUGGAGAACGGAUUUCCGGUUGAACGCAGGCACGUGGUGUCAACCGAGGAUGUGUCCCCAC